This 253-nucleotide ribosomal RNA is filed under the name uncultured bacterium. RNAcentral describes it as "partial 16S ribosomal RNA". It matches the Rfam family "Bacterial small subunit ribosomal RNA", at positions 524 to 776 of the family's 1533-position model. The record is from RNAcentral.
UACGUAGGGGGCGAGCGUUGUCCGAAGUUACUGGGCGUAAAGCGCGCGUAGGCGGCCCUUUAAGUCUGCUGUGAAAGUCGGAGGCUCAACCUUCGAAAGCCGGUGGAUACUGUGAGACUUGAGUACGGAAGAGGAGAGUGGAAUUCCUGGUGUAGCGGUGAAAUGCGCAGAUAUCAGGAGGAACACCAACGGCGAAGGCAGCUCUCUGGGACGUUACUGACGCUGAGACGCGAAAGCGUGGGGAGCAAACAGG